This 563-nucleotide ribosomal RNA is filed under the name uncultured bacterium. RNAcentral's name for it is "bacterial SSU rRNA". It matches the Rfam family "Bacterial small subunit ribosomal RNA", at positions 8 to 561 of the family's 1533-position model. The record is from RNAcentral.
AGAGUUUGAUCAUGGCUCAGGAUGAACGCUAGCGGCAGGCCUAACACAUGCAAGUCGAGGGGUAACAUAGGAAAGCUUGCUUUUCUGAUGACGACCGGCGCACGGGUGCGUAACGCGUAUACAACCUACCUUUUAGCGGGGAAUAGCCCAGGGAAACUUGGAUUAAUGCCCCAUAGUAUAUAGACUUCUCCUGAAGUUUAUAUUAAACAUUUAUGGCUAUUAGAUGGGUAUGCGUCCUAUUAGUUAGUUGGUAAGGUAACGGCUUACCAAGGCAGCGAUAGGUAGGGGUCCUGAGAGGGAGAUCCCCCACACUGGUACUGAGACACGGACCAGACUCCUACGGGAGGCAGCAGUGAGGAAUAUUGGACAAUGGGCGAGAGCCUGAUCCAGCCAUGCCGCGUGCAGGAAGACUGCCCUAUGGGUUGUAAACUGCUUUUACAGAGGAAGAACCACCCCCACGUGUGGGGGGUUUGACGGUACUCUGCGAAUAAGGAUCGGCUAACUCCGUGCCAGCAGCCGCGGUAAUACGGAGGAUCCAAGCGUUAUCCGGAAUCAUUGGGUUU